GUGAGAUUUGAUAUAGAUCAGAUAUGUGCUGCAAUAUAAUUUACUUUCACUUACAGACAGUUGAGAUAUGCUGCAUAUCGCCAAUUUGCAUAUCUAAUAUGGAGAAGAAUGGGCAAGCACAAGAGACGCAUUCUGCCAAGUUGUGUCCUGUGUGCUAUCCGGAAGAAAUAUCCAUCUCAUAAUGGAGUGUACACGGGGUUCAAACAUUUUUCAAGCUGCGUCGAAGAAAGCGGCUGCUGAGAGGUGGCGGAAUCUUCGCAUUUGUGGUCCUUCUCGUCCGUAACACUGUGACAGCGUCCAGCAUAACCACUUCCAGUAGUCUCUUCACAUAGCCUGCAUUAGGAUUUCACAACACAAUGUAUGUGUGAAGAAAUAAAGUGCAAUAUCAUCAGUUUACCA
Non-coding RNA from Dermacentor albipictus, 399 nucleotides. The record is from RefSeq and is a predicted model, not a curated record. NCBI's taxonomy places the organism in Eukaryota, Metazoa, Arthropoda, Arachnida, Ixodida, Ixodidae.